RNAcentral lists this ribosomal RNA (426 nucleotides) under uncultured fungus. Its description in RNAcentral is "eukaryotic LSU rRNA". It matches the Rfam family "Eukaryotic large subunit ribosomal RNA", at positions 1 to 422 of the family's 3401-position model. Lineage: Eukaryota; Fungi. The record is from RNAcentral.
GAUCUGAAAUCAGGUAGGGCUACCCGCUGAACUUAAGCAUAUCAAUAAGCGGAGGAAAAGAAACUAACAAGGAUUCCCCUAGUAACGGCGAGUGAAGCGGGAAGAGCUCAAAUUUAAAAUCUGGUUUGCUUUGCAAAUCCGAGUUGUAGUCUGAAGAAACGUUUUCCAUGAAAGCUGAGGCACAAGUCCUUUGGAACAGGGCAUCAUAGAGGGUGAGAAUCCCGUCCAUGGUCUCAAGCCUUUCAUUUUGUGAUACGUUUUCUAAGAGUCAGGUUGUUUGGGAAUGCAGCCUAAAAUGGGUGGUAAAUUUCAUCUAAAGCUAAAUAUUGGCAAGAGACCGAUAGCGAACAAGUACCGUGAGGGAAAGAUGAAAAGAACUUUGAAAAGAGAGUUAAAAAGUACGUGAAAUUGUUGAAAGGGAACCGU